AUGGUCUUGCUCAAAGCCGAAAGAAAGCGAACGAAAAUGAGACACGAACACGAACACGCCAACACACACGCCAACACAAGACCAGGCAAAUCCCUAACUCUCCCCCUUUGGCAGCAAGACACCAAAAGGGACGACACGACACACGAUGGUAGUAGGUCUCCAUGGCAUCACCAGUCAUGCUCCUCCUAUUCCUCAUCCUCAGAAACCUCUGCAGCACGGGGAGAAGUACAAACUCCGGUGUCCUCCUCAGCGUCAGACCAUGGGCAAUGCACUCUGAUCCAGGACUCCUCAUCAGUGAUCCUCUCCUCAGAGCCAUCUGGAGCCUCAAGGCCAACCUGUCUCAUCAUAGCCUUGUCACGGCGACGAGCCAUCUUGGCCUCCUUGUGA
Molecule: ribosomal RNA, 387 nt
Filed under: Triticum aestivum (bread wheat)
Lineage: Eukaryota; Viridiplantae; Streptophyta; Magnoliopsida; Poales; Poaceae
Description: partial small subunit ribosomal RNA
Source: RNAcentral